Molecule: ribosomal RNA, 242 nt
Filed under: uncultured bacterium
Lineage: Bacteria
Description: partial 16S ribosomal RNA
Rfam family: Bacterial small subunit ribosomal RNA
Source: RNAcentral
UACGUAGGCAGCGAGCGUUGUUCGGAGUUACUGGGCGUAAAGGGUGUGUAGGCGGUUGUUUAAGUUUGGUGUGAAAUCUCCCGGCUCAACUGGGAGGGUGCGCCGAAUACUGAAUGACUUCGAGUGCGGGAGAGGAGAGUGGAAUUCCUGGUGUAGCGGUGAAAUGCGUAGAUAUCGGGAGGAACACCUGUGGCGAAAGCGGCUCGACUGGACCACAACGUGACGCUGAGGCGCGAAAGCUA